Molecule: ribosomal RNA, 453 nt
Filed under: uncultured Rubrivivax sp.
Lineage: Bacteria; Pseudomonadati; Pseudomonadota; Betaproteobacteria; Burkholderiales; Sphaerotilaceae
Description: bacterial SSU rRNA
Rfam family: Bacterial small subunit ribosomal RNA
Source: RNAcentral
GGCGAACGGGUGAGUAAUACAUCGGAACGUGCCCAGUUAGUGGGGGAUAGCCCGGCGAAAGCCGGAUUAAUACCGCAUACGACCUACGGGUGAAAGCGGGGGACCGCAAGGCCUCGCGCUAUCGGAGCGGCCGAUGUCAGAUUAGGUAGUUGGUGAGGUAAAGGCUCACCAAGCCUGCGAUCUGUAGCUGGUCUGAGAGGACGACCAGCCACACUGGGACUGAGACACGGCCCAGACUCCUACGGGAGGCAGCAGUGGGGAAUUUUGGACAAUGGGCGCAAGCCUGAUCCAGCCAUGCCGCGUGCGGGAAGAAGGCCUUCGGGUUGUAAACCGCUUUUGUCAGGGAAGAAACGCCUCGGGCUAAUACCUCGAGGUAAUGACGGUACCUGAAGAAUAAGCACCGGCUAACUACGUGCCAGCAGCCGCGGUAAUACGUAGGGUGCGAGCGUUAAU